This 830-nucleotide ribosomal RNA is filed under the name uncultured SAR86 cluster bacterium. RNAcentral's name for it is "bacterial SSU rRNA". It matches the Rfam family "Bacterial small subunit ribosomal RNA", at positions 671 to 1501 of the family's 1533-position model. Lineage: Bacteria; Pseudomonadati; Pseudomonadota; Gammaproteobacteria. The record is from RNAcentral.
CAGUGUAGCGGUGGGAAUGCGUAGAUAUUGUGAAGAAUACCGAUGGCGAAGGCAGCUUUCUGGUUCUGUACUGACACUGAGGUGCGAAAGCGUGGGUAGCGAACAGGAUUAGAUACCCUGGUAGUCCACGCCGUAAACGAUGACAACUAGCUGUUGGGAAGCUAUGCUUUUCAGUGGCGCAGCUAACGUCUUAAGUUGUCCGCCUGGGGAGUACGGCCGCAAGGUUAAAACUCAAAUGAAUUGACGGGGACCCGCACAAGCGGUGGAGCAUGUGGUUUAAUUCGAUGCAACGCGAAAAACCUUACCUACACUUGACAUACUUGGAAUCUUUUGUAAUGAAAGAGUGCCUUUUGGAGCCAAGAUACAGGUGCUGCAUGGCUGUCGUCAGCUCGUGUCGUGAGAUGUUGGGUUAAGUCCCAUAACGAGCGCAACCCUUACCCUUAUUUGCCAGCGAUUCGGUCGGGAACUAUAAGGGGACUGCCGGUGAUAAACCGGAGGAAGGUGAGGACGACGUCAAGUCAUCAUGGCCCUUACGUGUAGGGCUACACACGUGCUACAAUGGGGAGUACAGAUAGACGCUAAAGCGCGAGCUGGUGCUAAUCUCAUAAAACUCUUCGUAGUCCGGAUUGCAGUCUGCAACUCGACUGCAUGAAGUCGGAAUCGCUAGUAAUCGCGAAUCAGCAUGUCGCGGUGAAUACGUUCUCGGGUCUUGUACACACCGCCCGUCACACCAUGGGAGUGUAUUGCACCAGAAGUGGGUAGUCUAACCUUCGGGAGGGCGCUCACCACGGUGUGGUCCAUGACUGGGGUGAAGUCGUAACAAGGUAACC